RNAcentral lists this ribosomal RNA (450 nucleotides) under uncultured bacterium. RNAcentral's name for it is "partial 16S ribosomal RNA". It matches the Rfam family "Bacterial small subunit ribosomal RNA", at positions 354 to 796 of the family's 1533-position model. The record is from RNAcentral.
GUGGGGAAUUUUGGACAAUGGGCGCAAGCCUGAUCCAGCCAUGCCGCGUGCAGGAUGAAGGCCUUCGGGUUGUAAACUGCUUUUGUACGGAACGAAAAGACUUCUUCUAAUACAGGAGGUCCAUGACGGUACCGUAAGAAUAAGCACCGGCUAACUACGUGCCAGCAGCCGCGGUAAUACGUAGGGUGCAAGCGUUAAUCGGAAUUACUGGGCGUAAAGCGUGCGCAGGCGGUUAUAUAAGACAGAUGUGAAAUCCCCGGGCUCAAGCUGGUAACUGCAUUUGUGACUGUAUAGCUAGAGUACGGUAGAGGGGGAUGGAAUUCCGCGUGUAGCAGUGAAAUGCGUAGAUAUGCGGAGGAACACCGAUGGCGAAGGCAAUCCCCUGGACCUGUACUGACGCUCAUGCACGAAAGCGUGGGGAGCAAACAGGAUUAGAAACCCGGGUAGUCC